CACCAGUAUGACAUUUCUCCAUGAAAAUCUUUUCUUACCAGAGACAGCUUUGACCUUAGUGGCAGCAAUGGCAUCAAAAACUUUUGUAAUUUUACAGUUGAAAUGAUCUACAAGCUUAGUGACUGAGACCCCAGAGAGAGCGGGUGUGGAGAACAAAAGCAGAAUAAAUGUUUCACUGGUGUUUUCAGUGAUGUACCAUUUUAGGAUUAUCUUUGUUUGAACACUUUUGUGCACAGCGAUAGUGCUGUUAAAGAAAACACAGGAAUGAUCAGAGAGAGCAACGUCAGUCAUCACAACCUUGGAAAUGUUCAGACCUUUGGAGAUAAUCAAGUCUAGAGUGUACCCCUUAUUGUGCGUGGGCUCCGUUCUUUGGUCCCUCUGUUCUGGGGUUGUCAACAUGAAUGUUAAAAUCACGCGCAAUGAUUACACAGUCAAAGUUAAUACAGAUUUAAGACAGCAGUUUAUUAAAAACGUCAAAGA
This is a long non-coding RNA of Etheostoma cragini (Arkansas darter), 480 nucleotides long. RefSeq lists it as uncharacterized. Lineage: Eukaryota; Metazoa; Chordata; Actinopteri; Perciformes; Percidae. The record is from RefSeq and is a predicted model, not a curated record. The transcript is spliced from 3 exons.